UGGCGGCGUGGUCAACACAUGCAAGAUCGUACGAGAAAGUGGAGCAAUCCAUGAGUAAAGUGGCGACUUGGUCAGUAACACGUGACUACCUACCUUCUAGUGGGGGAUAACUCCGGGAAACCGGAGCUAAUACCGCAUAACAUCGCAAGAUCAAAGCAGCAAUGCGCUGGAAGAGGGGGUCGCGGCUGAUUAGCUAGUUGGUAGGGUAAUGGCCUACCAAGGCAAAGAUCGGUAUCCGGCCUGAGAGGGCGCACGGACACACUGGAACUGAAACACGGUCCAGACUCCUACGGGAGGCAGCAGUGGG
Molecule: ribosomal RNA, 307 nt
Filed under: uncultured Acidobacteriota bacterium
Lineage: Bacteria; Pseudomonadati; Acidobacteriota
Description: bacterial SSU rRNA
Rfam family: Bacterial small subunit ribosomal RNA
Source: RNAcentral